Molecule: ribosomal RNA, 410 nt
Filed under: Cucullaea labiata
Lineage: Eukaryota; Metazoa; Mollusca; Bivalvia; Arcoida; Cucullaeidae
Description: partial 12S ribosomal RNA
Rfam family: Bacterial small subunit ribosomal RNA
Source: RNAcentral
UGUUAUUGUAGCUGUUAAGAAUAACUUAGUUUGUUUGCCAGGCGACUAUGCUUGAAAGAGUAAAAGUCUAAGUGAUUGGCGGUCUAGGAUACCCGGCCCGUGAGACUUGACGGUUAAUUCGAUGAUCCGCGUUAUAAUUUACUUGUUUUUGAGAAUCAGUUGGUGUAUGGCCGUCGCUAGGUUUACCUUGAAAGGGUAAAAAAGUAAGCUAGAAUUUAGUUAGACACGUUUGGGGUUGUUUACUGAAUAUAAGUCAGGUCUUUAUGCUGCUUAUAGACAAGGCUUAGUUGAGUCGCAUUAAUGAGAUUAAGCGGAGUUUUAGGGGAAUGACUAGGAUGAAGAAGGAAUGGGUAGUAAUGGAAAAUUAGUACGUUUUUGUGAAUGGAGAACUUCUAGGUGUACAAAUCGCC